Molecule: long non-coding RNA, 823 nt
Organism: Patiria miniata (bat star)
Lineage: Eukaryota; Metazoa; Echinodermata; Asteroidea; Valvatida; Asterinidae
Exons: 2
Source: RefSeq, a predicted model, not a curated record
AGGCUCACCAACAUAUUCUUACUCUUGAUCGGUUGAAAUCGAGCCACACAGUCUUCACUUUUUCUACUAUCUUGCUGUGCUACAGCCAAAACGACUACACUAACGCAAAAAAACUCAACAACUGCUGAAAAGUUUUGUACGCAUAACAACCAAAGUAGCAACCGGAGCUCUGUGUGCAAAUGCAAACUGGUGAGUGCGAUGUGCGUAUUGUUACCAUGCGCUACAGAGUCAGGUUCAAACAUUUCAUGAAGCAGCAGUCUUUGACUAACUUCACAUGCAAAUUGUAUCAAUUUGUCAAAUUUUUGGUUGAAUCAAUCAGUUAUCUCUCGAAAUCAAGCAGAAUCUGUGGAUGAGGCGUCAACUGCUUUAACUCGUGGUGUAGUGAAACUAGCCUCCGUCGGAGCGUUCGAGUUCCCUCAGCUUCGCCAAAGGAAAUCAGAAUGCUCCACGAUCACCUCGGGAGGCUAGUUUGACCACACUACUGAAAGCUAUUAAUAUUUGCGUAUUCACAUUAGGCAAAGGUCCAAAAGACUAGAAAAGUGUCACCAACUUGUUAACUGUGUAUUACUUUUAACAAAAACUAAUUUAGGUAUGAACUGUGUAAUUGUUGGUGUUGAAAUAUGACAAGUACAACGUAUACGGUUAACGUUAGUUCUUGAAGUAUAUCAUGUUGCAGAAAGGUGUUGCUGCAAUUAUGAACAAGUUCUGUAAUUCUGUUCAUUUCAACACAAAAUACUUGCUGAAACCACUUACAAAUUGAAUUUCGGGUCCAAUUUUCACACAAUCACACAUUGCACUAAAAAUGAAAAAAAAUAAUAAUAAU